UACAGAGGUCUCGAGCGUUGUUCGGAAUUACUGGGCGUAAAGCGUGCGCAGGCGGUGAUGUAAGACAGUUGUGAAAUCCCCGGGCUCAACCUGGGAACUGCAUCUGUGACUGCAUUGCUGGAGUGCGGCAGAGGGGGAUGGAAUUCCGCGUGUAGCAGUGAAAUGCGUAGAUAUGCGGAGGAACACCGAUGGCGAAGGCAAUCCCCUGGGCCUGCACUGACGCUCAUGCACGAAAGCGUGGGGAGCAAACAGG
This 253-nucleotide ribosomal RNA is filed under the name uncultured bacterium. Its description in RNAcentral is "partial 16S ribosomal RNA". It matches the Rfam family "Bacterial small subunit ribosomal RNA", at positions 524 to 776 of the family's 1533-position model. The record is from RNAcentral.